Molecule: ribosomal RNA, 429 nt
Filed under: Gemmatimonadota bacterium
Lineage: Bacteria; Pseudomonadati; Gemmatimonadota
Description: Gemmatimonadetes bacterium partial 16S ribosomal RNA
Rfam family: Bacterial small subunit ribosomal RNA
Source: RNAcentral
UAGGGAAUCUUCGGCAAUGGACGAAAGUCUGACCGAGCAACGCCGCGUGAGUGAAGAAGGUUUUCGGAUCGUAAAACUCUGUUGUUAGAGAAGAACAAGGACGUUAGUAACUGAACGUCCCUUGACGGUAUCUAACCAGAAAGCCACGGCUAACUACGUGCCAGCAGCCGCGGUAAUACGUAGGUGGCAAGCGUUGUUCGGAUUUAUUGGGCGUAAAGCGAGCGCAGGCGGUUUCUUAAGUCUGAUGUGAAAGCCCCCGGCUCAACCGGGGAGGGUCAUUGGAAACUGGGAGACUUGAGUGCAGAAGAGGAGAGUGGAAUUCCAUGUGUAGCGGUGAAAUGCGUAGAUAUAUGGAGGAACACCAGUGGCGAAGGCGGCUCGCGGGUCUGUAACUGACGCUGAGGCUCGAAAGCGUGGGGAGCAAACAGG